GAGUGUCUAGUUUAAUUUUUUUCUAAAACACUAGGUUGUCACACUAGAAUUACCCAUAGGGGGUGACCCUCU
RNAcentral lists this transfer RNA (72 nucleotides) under Nesophrosyne makaihe. Its description in RNAcentral is "tRNA-Asp". Lineage: Eukaryota; Metazoa; Arthropoda; Insecta; Hemiptera; Cicadellidae. The record is from RNAcentral.